GACGAACGCUGGCGGCGUGCCUAAUACAUGCAAGUAGAACGCUGAAGGAGGAGCUUGCUUCUCUGGAUGAGUUGCGAACGGGUGAGUAACGCGUAGGUAACCUGCCUGGUAGCGGGGGAUAACUAUUGGAAACGAUAGCUAAUACCGCAUAAGAGUAGAUGUUGCAUGACAUUUGCUUAAAAGGUGCAAUUGCAUCACUACAAGAUGGACUUGCGUUGUAUUAGCUAGUUGGUGGGGUAACGGCUCACCAAGGCGACGAUACAUAGCCGACCUGAGAGGGUGAUCGGCCACACUGGGACUGAGACACGGCCCAGACGCCUACGGGAGGCAGCAGUAGGGAAUCUUCGGCAAUGGACGGAAGUCUGACCGAGCAACGCCGCGUGAGUGAAGAAGGUUUUCGGAUCGUAAAGCUCUGUUGUAAGAGAAGAACGAGUGUGAGAGUGGAAAGUUCACACUGUGACGGUAUCUUACCAGAAAGGGACGGCUAACUACGUG
Molecule: ribosomal RNA, 495 nt
Filed under: uncultured bacterium
Lineage: Bacteria
Description: partial 16S ribosomal RNA
Rfam family: Bacterial small subunit ribosomal RNA
Source: RNAcentral